UGCGUUCAAGGGAGAAGUCAGCUUUUACCGACAUUGCACAAUUCAGGUUUUGUUACCAACAUGUAAAAUAUCUUGCUGAGAUUUCCGACAAGAAGAAAUACUAUAAUAUGAACGAGCUGUUGUGAACAAUGGUUGAAGAAAUUCGUCUUUAUUAUCACUUUAUUACUUGUCCAUUUUUACACAGAUAUGGCACUUGUUUAAAGGCUGAAAAAGCUAUUUUUUAUUUUUCAAAUGCUUUUUUUGGUGUCCUGUUGCAAUCUCUGAAAAGACAUAUUACACAUUAGUCAUGCAUAAAGUUAAGCCAUUUUGUUUUAGUGUUGUUUUGGCAAAUAAUUAGUUAUAGUACUUGGUAUUUUAUUUGAAAAUCAACAUGCAAUUUCGUUUACAUUUUCCUAACCUAUAUCUAAAAAUAUUUCACCUCUUUGAGCACUGUUUUCUUCAGGUGAUAUGCAUCUUAUAUGCUCUCAAUUCAAUUUUACAACAUAACAAUGCCUUUUUCUCUGAAAAGAAUACUCGUUGUUUUUUUUUGUUUUUUUUUAAUACAUGUAAGGACACGUUUAUAAAUAUGAUGAACAUUUUCAUUAAACAGUACUGUAAUGUUUUGAAAUAUUGUUAUAACGGGUUUUCUAACUGCUUAUUUGUUAUAUUAUCUAAAGUCGCUUAUAUUUGUAAUGUUCGAUGCAUUUAGCGAACAGUGUGCAUUUGUAUGCUUAAUAUAAACAUUUUGAUUUUAUUUUACUAGAUUCGGUCAUAUUAUUUUAUUAAUGAAAAGCAUGAUAUUAAUUUUCUUAUUGAAUAUUCAAAAGUAUAUAAUUCAAUGCAAUAAUAUAAGUCUGUCACAACAACCUUUAUAUCAACCAUGCGCAUUAAACAUAAAUAUAUGAAUAAUGUAAACAAAUUAUUUUAUAAUUGUUAUAAAUUAAAGUAUCAUUUUAGUGAUAUAUUAUAGAAAGAUAUGCCUUUAACAAAAUAUGAUAUGUGUAAAAUAUUAUUCUGUGUGCAUGUCUUUGCUUUAUGGCUUAUAUGAAUUAAUUAUUUAUUGUGCUAGUGUUUGCUUCUUUCCCUUAGUGUUAGUGUGUCCUUUUGAGGCUGAUCAACUAUGUUCUUUACAACUAGGGUUUAUACUCAUUAUAUCAUGAGCAGAAUCAAUAAACCGAGUCUAAAAAUGUCAACUGUUUCCUUUCUAUAACUUUCGAGUAAUCUUCCCUUUAAUAUAGCUUAACAUACUAUAAGCAUAAACUACAAUUUUAUAAAGCAUGUUUUCUUAACUAGUAGUUCAUAUUUGGAACGAAAUUUUAUGCUAUAGCCUUUCUAACCGUGUUUUACAGAUGCUUUUAGUUUAUUAGAUAUGAUAAAAAAUCAAAACUUGAGCCUUCAUUAACUCUUUUCAAAACAGUCAAAAAUAUUUGCACAGGUUUAUAAACUAAUUUAGCCUGUCCAACUCAAUAAUAGUCUUUUUAUACAUUUCUUCAUCUUCUUUUUGGUUAUCUUAUAUUCUUUCAAAUACAGGUUAACAUUAGAUCUUUUCAACAUGUAUAUACAAAGUACAGACAUUUCAAUUCAUAUCUAGACUGUAGUCCUUUUAUCAUUGUUUUUUAUCUUUAUAAACUAUGUUUGUAGACGAGAAUCUUUUAUAUAUAAGUUCAUAAACUAAAGCUUCUUCUGCAUGAGUUUUUCGCAGAUAUAGUUCUAUAGUUGAUUUCGAAUGUAAAGCUUUCUUUAUUCAACACAUACAUUGAAAUUUAAAAAUAAAAUGUAUUUUUACAUUCAGCCAGUGGUGUUCAAUAUAGGUUUUAAUAUCGUAUUCCUAUUGCUAACUUUGUUUAACAUUUACUUAUACAAUUUGUUGUUACAUUGUUGUCUUUUAUAAUUAUUAGCUUUGCAAUACUCAAGAUUAAAUCAAUAAAUGACAUGUAAAUCUC
Molecule: long non-coding RNA, 1922 nt
Organism: Ruditapes philippinarum (Manila clam)
Lineage: Eukaryota; Metazoa; Mollusca; Bivalvia; Venerida; Veneridae
Exons: 2
Source: RefSeq, a predicted model, not a curated record